RNAcentral lists this transfer RNA (77 nucleotides) under Candidatus Gottesmanbacteria bacterium RIFCSPLOWO2_01_FULL_42_10. Its description in RNAcentral is "tRNA-Pro". Lineage: Bacteria; Candidatus Gottesmaniibacteriota. The record is from RNAcentral.
CGGGGUAUGGCGCAGUUAGCUAGCGCGCACGCAUGGGGUGCGUGAGGUCGCCGGGGCAGGGCCGGCUACCCCGACUA